AGAGUUUGAUCCUGGCUCAGAAUGAACGCUGGCGGCGUGCUUAACACAUGCAAGUCGAACGAUGAAACCUAGCUUGCUAGGUGGAUUAGUGGCGCACGGGUGAGUAAUAUAUAGGUAACGUGCCUCUUAGUCUGGGAUAGCCAUUGGAAACGAUGAUUAAUACUGGAUACUCCUUCUAACUCUAAUGUUAGUCGGGAAAGUUUUUCGCUAAGAGAUCGGCCUAUUUCCCAUCAGGUAGUUGGUAGUGUAAGAGACUACCAAGCCUAUGACGGGUAGCGGGUUUGAGAGGAUGAUCCGCCACACUGGUACUGAGACACGGACCAGACUCCUACGGGAGGCAGCAGUGAGGAAUAUUGCACAAUGGAGGAAACUCUGAUGCAGCAACGCCGCGUGGAGGAUGACGCAUUUCGGUGUGUAAACUCCUUUUAUGAGUCAAGAAAAUGACGGUAGCUCAUGAAUAAGCACCGGCUAACUCCGUGCCAGCAGCCGCGGUAAUACGGGGGGUGCAAGCGUUAUUCGGAAUCACUGGGCGUAAAGGACGCGUAGGCGGGAUGCCAAGUCUGAUGUGAAAUCCUAUGGCUUAACCAUAGAACUGCAUUGGAAACUGGUAACCUAGAGUAUGGGAGGGGGAGAUGGAAUUAGUGGUGUAGGGGUAAAAUCCGUAGAUAUCACUAGGAAUACC
Molecule: ribosomal RNA, 682 nt
Filed under: uncultured bacterium
Lineage: Bacteria
Description: bacterial SSU rRNA
Rfam family: Bacterial small subunit ribosomal RNA
Source: RNAcentral